GGCUUGCAGACGCGGCAAGGAUUCGACGCUGGGAGGUUACACGGACACGGGAUGAGGGAUCGCAGGAGAAUUAGACUCGGAUGGGAGCUGGUAGCAGGGCUUGGAACGCGGGGGAAUCGCCACGAGAUGCGGAAGGGAAGAUCUGGACUCUGCUGUGAACUGGGACGCGGGAGAUGCGCUGGAUGGUUGCGGACGCUGGCGAGAUCUGAUCGUGAACGGAAGGAGGUUUGGAGCUGGGAUGCGUGGACUGCGAGGAAGACGGAAGAGCUGGGACGCGU
This 278-nucleotide long non-coding RNA is filed under the name Phoenix dactylifera (date palm). Its description in RNAcentral is "long non-coding RNA (PDAC_LNC001902)". Lineage: Eukaryota; Viridiplantae; Streptophyta; Magnoliopsida; Arecales; Arecaceae. The record is from RNAcentral.